RNAcentral lists this ribosomal RNA (488 nucleotides) under Lodderomyces beijingensis. RNAcentral describes it as "eukaryotic LSU rRNA". The stretch from base 164 to 317 matches the Rfam family "5.8S ribosomal RNA". Lineage: Eukaryota; Fungi; Ascomycota; Pichiomycetes; Serinales; Debaryomycetaceae. The record is from RNAcentral.
AAGGAUCAUUACAGAAUUGAAGAGUGCUUGAGUGCAUUUCUUUUACACACGUGUUUUUUUCUAAUUUUGAAAACUUUGCCUUGGCAGUGGAAGCUUCUGCUGCCAGAGACUAAAACUCAACCAAACUUUUUAUUAAAGUCAACCGAUUUAUUAAAAUAAUCAAAACUUUCAACAACGGAUCUCUUGGUUCUCGCAUCGAUGAAGAACGCAGCGAAAUGCGAUAAGUAAUAUGAAUUGCAGAUAUUCGUGAAUCAUCGAAUCUUUGAACGCACAUUGCGCCCUCUGGUAUUCCAGAGGGCAUGCCUGUUUGAGCGUCAUUUCUCCCUCAAACCCCUGGGGUUUGGUGUUGAGCGAUACGACGGGUUUGCUUGAAAGAAAGUAAGAAUCGACAAUGUAUUAGGUUUUUUUUUUAUUAUCCACUCGUUGGUGAUUCUGAAACGUCUUCCAAAUUCGACCUCAAAUCAGGUAGGACUACCCGCUGAACUUAA